Molecule: long non-coding RNA, 483 nt
Organism: Pan paniscus (pygmy chimpanzee)
Lineage: Eukaryota; Metazoa; Chordata; Mammalia; Primates; Hominidae
Source: Ensembl
GUGGGGCAUCUGGAAAGCAUGGCAACAUGAAUGAGACAUCUUUCUCCUCCAAUCACAGGUCUAACCUUGAUGUCAUCCAUGUGCAGGUGGAAGCAAAUGAGGCCAUGGGUUCUGCUUAAAUCCCUCCAGAGAGAACUGGGGAGGAGACUUGUUUCUCCAAAGCUAGAUGGUUCCCACAGUUGCCAUGGAUAUCUCCUACAGGAGGCUUUGCAAGUUCCACAUGAAGGGGCUGAAAUUAAUAAACUCCUUUGAACUCAGAGGAAACAAACCAGUUGCUACCAAGAAAAGAUGACUGCAAUAAAUGAAAAGAUGACCACAAUAAAUAGGUGAGUGGGAAUAAAAAGUGAUUUACAAAUAAUUAUGUACAAUAUGACCUUGCUUUUGUAAAAGAAUAAAAAAGUGUAUAACCAUAUAUAUAGGAAAACAUCUGGAAAUGUACAUACUAAAAUGUCAAGAGUAGUUGCUCUGGGUGGGGUAUGGUAU